This 95-nucleotide transfer RNA is filed under the name Rhizoctonia solani. RNAcentral describes it as "tRNA-Tyr". It matches the Rfam family "tRNA". From Rfam's summary of the family: Transfer RNA (tRNA) molecules are approximately 80 nucleotides in length. Their secondary structure includes four short double-helical elements and three loops (D, anti-codon, and T loops). Lineage: Eukaryota; Fungi; Basidiomycota; Agaricomycetes; Cantharellales; Ceratobasidiaceae. The record is from RNAcentral.
CCCUCGGUAGCUCAGUUGGAAGAGCGUGGGACUGUAAUUGGAAAGAUCUUGCUUACAUAAUCCCGAGGCCAUUGGUUCGAUCCCGAUCUGAGGGA